Molecule: ribosomal RNA, 460 nt
Filed under: uncultured bacterium
Lineage: Bacteria
Description: partial 16S ribosomal RNA
Rfam family: Bacterial small subunit ribosomal RNA
Source: RNAcentral
CCUACGGGAGGCAGCAGUGAGGAAUAUUGGUCAAUGGACGAGAGUCUGAACCAGCCAAGUAGCGUGAAGGAUGACUGCCCUAUGGGUUGUCAACUUCUUUUAUAAAGGAAUAAAACGAGGCACGUGUGCCUUUUUGCAUGUACUUUAUGAAUAAGGAUCGGCUAACGCCGUGCCAGCAGCCGAGGUAAUACGGAGGAUCCGAGCGUUAUCCGGAUUUAUUGGGUUUAAAGGGAGCGUAGAUGGGUUGUUAAGUCAGUUGUGAAAGUUUGCGGCUCAACCGUAAAAUUGCCAUUGAUACUGGCAGUCUUGAGUACAGUUGAGGUAGGCGGAAUUCGUGGUGUAGCGGUUAAAUGCUUAGAUAUCACGAAGAACCCCGAUUGCGAAGGCAGCUUACUAAACUGUGACUGACAUUGAUGCUCGAAAGUGUGGGUAUCAAACAGGAUUAGAUACCCGAGUAGUC